RNAcentral lists this unclassified non-coding RNA (418 nucleotides) under Hevea brasiliensis (rubber tree). Lineage: Eukaryota; Viridiplantae; Streptophyta; Magnoliopsida; Malpighiales; Euphorbiaceae. The record is from RNAcentral.
AUUGAACAAAAGCCCAUGGUCUAUUUAAGACAAUAUAACCUCGAUCCAGGCCCUGUGGAAGAGGAUCAACGAUAAAGGUUGGAAUUUCUUCCAUCAAAUUGUCAGGUUUUCCAGAAUGCAGAACUCGAGUGAACUUUCCCAUGUCUGAUCCAGGCAUGUCUUUCAUCUUCUUAUACCAAUAGUACAUAAUCCGGCAUUGCCAUUGGCUAUAAGGAGCAUCUGUCGCUGUAAGGGCAACAUGGUAUCUCGAAUUUGACUUCCCUAAUCUCUUUACCUCUUGAGGCAUAUUAGUAAUGGGAUCAGAUAACUCCAAUCCAUCUCCUGAAUUGGAGCUCUUAUAUUGUAUUAAGAAUGUCAACAAGUUAUACAUUGCAAAGGAAAAACCAAGAGACAAAAGCACCAAAAAGAAUGGUGAUAC